CUCCCGUGGCGAAAUUGGUAAACGCUUCCGUUUGAGGGACGGAAUUGUUGCAGGUUCAAAUCCUGUCGGGAGACCA
RNAcentral lists this transfer RNA (76 nucleotides) under Nostoc sp. RF31YmG. RNAcentral's name for it is "Nostoc sp. RF31Y tRNA-Leu". It matches the Rfam family "tRNA". Rfam says of the family: Transfer RNA (tRNA) molecules are approximately 80 nucleotides in length. Their secondary structure includes four short double-helical elements and three loops (D, anti-codon, and T loops). Further hydrogen bonds mediate the characteristic L-shaped molecular structure. tRNAs have two regions of fundamental functional importance: the anti-codon, which is responsible for specific mRNA codon recognition, and the 3' end, to which the tRNAs corresponding amino acid is attached (by aminoacyl-tRNA synthetases). tRNAs cope with the degeneracy of the genetic code in two manners: having more than one tRNA (with a specific anti-codon) for a particular amino acid; and 'wobble' base-pairing, i.e. permitting non-standard base-pairing at the 3rd anti-codon position. The record is from RNAcentral. Lineage: Bacteria; Bacillati; Cyanobacteriota; Cyanophyceae; Nostocales; Nostocaceae.